This 83-nucleotide transfer RNA is filed under the name Schistocephalus solidus. It matches the Rfam family "tRNA". Rfam says of the family: Transfer RNA (tRNA) molecules are approximately 80 nucleotides in length. Their secondary structure includes four short double-helical elements and three loops (D, anti-codon, and T loops). The record is from Rfam by way of RNAcentral. Lineage: Eukaryota; Metazoa; Platyhelminthes; Cestoda; Diphyllobothriidea; Diphyllobothriidae.
GGCCUCGUAGCUCAGUUGGCUAGAGCGUUGGCUGUACUAAAGCCGUACCCUUACUGGCGUGGGUUCGAAUCCCACCGCGGCCA